Molecule: transfer RNA, 74 nt
Filed under: Sus scrofa (pig)
Lineage: Eukaryota; Metazoa; Chordata; Mammalia; Artiodactyla; Suidae
Rfam family: tRNA
About the family: Transfer RNA (tRNA) molecules are approximately 80 nucleotides in length. Their secondary structure includes four short double-helical elements and three loops (D, anti-codon, and T loops).
Source: Rfam by way of RNAcentral
UCCCUGGUGGCUCAGUGGGUUAAGGAUCCAGCAUUGUCACUGCUGUGGUGCAGGUUUGAUUCCUGGUCUGGGAA